Molecule: ribosomal RNA, 401 nt
Filed under: uncultured bacterium
Lineage: Bacteria
Description: bacterial SSU rRNA
Rfam family: Bacterial small subunit ribosomal RNA
Source: RNAcentral
GGGGAAUCUUGCACAAUGGAGGAAACUCUGAUGCAGCGACGCCGCGUGAGCGAAGAAGCCUUUCGGGGUGUAAAGCUCUUACGCCAGGGACGAUAAUGACGGUACCUGGAGAAGCAGCUGCGGCUAACUACGUGCCAGCAGCCGCGGUAAUACGUAGGCAGCAAGCGUUGUUCGGAAUUACUGGGCGUAAAGGGUGCGUAGGCGGCGCUCUAAGUUUGGUGUGAAAUCUCCCGGCUUAACUGGGAGGGUGCACUGAAAACUGGGGCGCUCGAGUAUGGGAGAGGAAAGCGGAAUUCCUGGUGUGGCGGUGAAAUGCGUAGAGAUCAGGAGGAACACCUGCGGUGCAGACGGCUUUCUGGACCAUCACUGACGCUGAGGCACGAAAGCGUGGGUAGCAAACA